RNAcentral lists this long non-coding RNA (593 nucleotides) under Ananas comosus (pineapple). RNAcentral describes it as "long non-coding RNA (ACOM_LNC035216)". Lineage: Eukaryota; Viridiplantae; Streptophyta; Magnoliopsida; Poales; Bromeliaceae. The record is from RNAcentral.
UUUGGUAAUAAGUGAAUGGUGUUAAAACUAUAGUUUAUACAUAAACAAUAGGUAAUUUAAUAAAUUAUAAUUAUAAUAUAAUAAAUAAAAAAUUAUAUAAUUGUAUCCCUAUAUAACUAAAAAAAUAUAAUUUUUUAUACCUAAAUUAUAAUAAAACAAUAAUAAAAUCAUAUAAUAAAAGAAAACAGUAAUACUCAAUUAAUCAAUUUUUAUAAUAUUUUAAAUAUGCAAAUUAACUAAAUAAAAGAGAUACUAUAACUUAACUGAUCAAUUUUCAUUACAUUUAUCGCGCAAGUGGUAAAGGACUUGAUAGUUGAUACCCGACAUCCUAAAUUCAAAAUAUAAAUUACUUCACAUUUCCAGCUAAGUUUAUUUCUAAAAAAAAAUAAAUGAAACAGAUAGCAUCCUACCUUUCUUUCACUAAAUGAGAGAGUAAUGAAAUAUAACUAGUAUUUACACAUUGUAUUAUUUUAUUAUUUUUUUAAUUGUUAAAGUUAAUUAUUAAUUAUAUUGUUUGGAGUAACUCGAGCUUCGACUGUAUCUUCUUCUGACGAAUAAAAUAAUUUUUUACAGCAGAAGAUAACUUUACUCUU